CACGGAGUUAGCCGAUGCUUUUUCUCCGGGUACUCUCAGCUGAGCCACACGUGACUCAGCUUGCUCCCCGGCAAAAGAGGUUUACAAUCCAUAGGACCGUCUUCCCUCACGCGACUUGGCUGGUUCAAGCUCGCGCCCAUUGACCAAUAUUCCUCACUGCUGCCUCCCGUAGGAGUCUGGUCCGUGUCUCAGUACCAGUGUGGGGGACCUUCCUCUCAGAACCCCUACGCAUCGUCGCCUCGGUGGGCCGCUACCCCGCCGACUAGCUAAUGCGCCGCAUGCCCAUCCCUGGCCGGAAUCGCUUCCUUUGAUCCUAACGGGAUGUCCCGUAAGGAUGUUACGCGGUAUUAGACCGGAUUUCUCCGGCUUAUCCCCCAGCCAGGGGCAGGUUGCAUACGUGUUACUCACCCGUGCGCCGGUCGCCGGCGGAUGAAGCAAGCUUCAUCCCCGCUGCCCCUCGACUUGCCAUGUGUUAAGCCUGUCGCUAGCGUUCAUCCUGAGCCA
Molecule: ribosomal RNA, 504 nt
Filed under: uncultured Bacteroidales bacterium
Lineage: Bacteria; Pseudomonadati; Bacteroidota; Bacteroidia; Bacteroidales
Description: partial 16S ribosomal RNA
Source: RNAcentral